AGCUGGAAUUGCUAGUAAUGGCAGGUCAGCAUACUGCCGUGAANACGUUCCCGGGCCUUGUACACACCGCCCGUCACACCAUGAGAGUUGGAAAUACCCGAAGCCUGUGAGCUAACUUAAAGAGGCAGCAGUCGAAGGUAGAGCCAAUGAUUGGGGUGAAGUCGUAACAAGGUACC
Molecule: ribosomal RNA, 176 nt
Filed under: uncultured bacterium
Lineage: Bacteria
Description: partial 16S ribosomal RNA
Rfam family: Bacterial small subunit ribosomal RNA
Source: RNAcentral